RNAcentral lists this transfer RNA (71 nucleotides) under Camelus bactrianus (Bactrian camel). It matches the Rfam family "tRNA". Rfam says of the family: Transfer RNA (tRNA) molecules are approximately 80 nucleotides in length. Their secondary structure includes four short double-helical elements and three loops (D, anti-codon, and T loops). The record is from Rfam by way of RNAcentral. RNAcentral also lists the same sequence under 1 other name. Lineage: Eukaryota; Metazoa; Chordata; Mammalia; Artiodactyla; Camelidae.
GGAUAAUAGCUCAGUGGUAGAGCACGUGCUUAGCAUGCGCGGGGUCCUGGGUUCGAUCCCCAGUAUCUCCA